UACUGGUGUAAGAGUGUAGGCCGUGACAUAGGCAAAUCCGUGUCACAUUAAGGCUGAGACUUGAUGCAUACCCGUUGUGGGGAAUUCAGUGAUCCUAUGCUGCCGAGAAAAGCCUCUAGUGAGUUCAUACACGGCCCGUACCCCAAACCGACACAGGUGAUCAGGUAGAGAAUACCAAGGCGAUCGAGAGAACUGUGGUUGAGGAACUCGGCAAAAUGCCCCCGUAACUUCGGGAGAAGGGGGACCAUGCCCGGUGAACAUCUUCACGGUGGGAGCUGGGUGUGGUCGCAGAGACCAGAGAGAAGCGACUGUUUACUAAAAACACAGGUCCGUGCGAAGACGUAAGUCGAUGUAUACGGACUGACGCCUGCCCGGUGCUGGAAGGUUAAGAGGACCGGUUAGCCGUAAGGCGAAGCUGAGAAUUUAAGCCCCAGUAAACGGCGGUGGUAACUAUAACCAUCCUAAGGUAGCGAAAUUCCUUGUCGGGUAAGUUCCGACCUGCACGAAUGGCGUAACGACUUCUCUGCUGUCUCGACCACAGACUCGGCGAAAUUGCACUACGAGUAAAGAUGCUCGUUACGCGCGGCAGGACGAAAAGACCCCGGGACCUUUACUAUAGCUUGGUAUUGGCGUUCGACUCGGUUUGUGUAGGAUAGGUGGGAGACUGUGAAGCAUGCACGCCAGUGUGUGUGGAGUCGUUGUUGAAAUACCACUCUGAUCGUAUUGGACGUCUAACCUCGGCCCAUGAUCUGGGUUAGGGACAGUGCCUGGUGGGUAGUUUAACUGGGGCGGUUGCCUCCUAAAGAGUAACGGAGGCGCCCAAAGGUUCCCUCAGCCUGGAUGGCAAUCAGGUGUUGAGUGCAAGUGCACAAGGGAGCUUGACUGUGAGACUGACACGUCGAGCAGGGACGAAAGUCGGGACUAGUGAUCCGGCACCGGCAAGUGGAAGCGGUGUCGCUCAACGGAUAAAAGGUACCCCGGGGAUAACAGGCUGAUCUUCCCCAAGAGUCCAUAUCGACGGGAUGGUUUGGCACCUCGAUGUCGGCUCGUCGCAUCCUGGGGCUGGAGUAGGUCCCAAGGGUUGGGCUGUUCGCCCAUUAAAGCGGCACGCGAGCUGGGUUUAGAACGUCGUGAGACAGUUCGGUCUCUAUCCGCCGCGCGCGUAAGAAACUUGAGGAAGGCUGUCCCUAGUACGAGAGGACCGGGACGGACGAACCUCUGGUGUGCCAGUUGUUCCACCAGGGGCAUGGCUGGUUAGCUACGUUCGGAAGGGAUAACCGCUGAAAGCAUCUAAGCGGGAAGCCUGUUCCAAGAUGAGGUUUCUCACCACCUUGCGUGGUUAAGGCCCCCUACAGACCAUGGGGUUGAUAGGCCGGAACUGGAAGCGCAGCAAUGCGUGGAGGUGACCGGUACUAAUAGGCCGAGGAC
This 1428-nucleotide ribosomal RNA is filed under the name metagenome. RNAcentral's name for it is "bacterial LSU rRNA". It matches the Rfam family "Bacterial large subunit ribosomal RNA", at positions 1505 to 2912 of the family's 2925-position model. The record is from RNAcentral.